Non-coding RNA from Podarcis lilfordi (Lilford's wall lizard), 69 nucleotides. The record is from the annotation of a GenBank genome assembly. NCBI's taxonomy places the organism in Eukaryota, Metazoa, Chordata, Lepidosauria, Squamata, Lacertidae.
GAAUAGCUCAGCUGGUAAAACACGAGACUCUUAAUCUCAGGCUCAUGGGUUCAAGCCCUGUGUUAAGCA